Molecule: transfer RNA, 72 nt
Filed under: Turanogryllus eous
Lineage: Eukaryota; Metazoa; Arthropoda; Insecta; Orthoptera; Gryllidae
Description: tRNA-His
Source: RNAcentral
GUUUAAUUAGUUUAUUAAGAAUGUUGAUUUGUGAUAUCAAAGGUAUAUUGUGGGUUAUAUAUAUAUUAGACU